GACGAACGCUGGCGGCGUGCCUAAUACAUGCAAGUAGAACGCUGAAGGAGGAGCUUGCUCUUCUGGAUGAGUUGCGAACGGGUGAGUAACGCGUAGGUAACCUGCCUGGUAGCGGGGGAUAACUAUUGGAAACGAUAGCUAAUACCGCAUAACAGUAGAUGUUGCAUGACAUUUACUUAAAAGGUGCAAUUGCAUCACUACCAGAUGGACCUGCGUUGUAUUAGCUAGUUGGUGGGGUAACGGCUCACCAAGGCGACGAUACAUAGCCGACCUGAGAGGGUGAUCGGCCACACUGGGACUGAAACACGGCCCAGACGCCUACGGGAGGCAGCAGUAGGGAAUCUUCGGCAAUGGACGGAAGUCUGACCGAGCAACGCCGCGGGAGGGAAGAAGGUUUUCGGAUCGUAAAGCUCUGUUGUAAGAGAAGAACGAGUGUGAGAGUGGAAAGUUCACACUGUGACGGUAUCUUACCAGAAAGGGACGGCUAACUACGUG
This 495-nucleotide ribosomal RNA is filed under the name uncultured bacterium. Its description in RNAcentral is "partial 16S ribosomal RNA". It matches the Rfam family "Bacterial small subunit ribosomal RNA", at positions 28 to 507 of the family's 1533-position model. The record is from RNAcentral.